CGACAAGCAUAUUAUUUUCGUGAAAAAUAACAAAGAAAUGAAUUUCUCUAUAAAUAAUUAUGUUUGAUUAUUUCAUCUAAUCACAAGCUCUGAUUCUUUGUGUUAUUGUAUAAGUGUGUGUAUGUGUUGUUGUAAGUUGUUAGUGAUAAGUUGGUUGCAGUUUGUAGAGAGGAGAAAGACUUGAAGUGGGAAAUAUAAUUACUGUAUGUCAGUGGAAUAUUACAGUGGAAUAUUUUAUCACGUUGAGCUUGAUAAUCCUUUGCAAUGGCCACAGUUGAGGAAAAAACGACGCCACCUUGUUGUUCCCUUCAAAAUAACAACAAAUCUGCUGCAGCUGCAUCUUCUACCGUUGAUUCCCGCUCUGAUCCUCCUCCUAAAUCACCUUCUGCCAAAGAAAUAAAAGAUAGAAAAAAAACCAUUUCUUUUGACAUAGGUAUUACUGUAAUGGCGAAAGCUCAAACUUGCCAUCCUUUGGAUCCACUUUCUGCUGCUGAAAUAUCGGUAGCUAUAGCAACUGUUCGAGCAGCCGGAGCAACACCUGAGGUGAGGGAUAGCAUGCGGUUCAUUGAAGUAGACAUGGUAGAACCUGAAAAGCAUGUUGUUGCAUUAGCAGAUGCAUACUUCUUCCCUCCUUUCCAACCCUCACUUCUCCCGAGGACGAAAGGCGGGCCUGUGAUUCCAUCAAAACUGCCUCCAAGGAAAGCAAGAUUGGUUGUCUAUAAUAAGAAGUCGAACGAGACAAGCAUAUGGAUCGUUGAGCUUACAGAAGUUCAUGCAACAACUCGCGGAGGACAUCAUAGAGGCAAAGUGAUUUCUUCUACAAUUGUUCCAGAUGUUCAGCCUCCAAUGGAUGCGGUGGAGUAUGCUGAAUGUGAAGCUGUUGUAAAGAACUAUCCUCCAUUUCAAGAAGCAAUGAAGAAGAGAGGAAUUGAAGAUAUGGAUCUUGUGAUGGUGGAUCCAUGGUGUGCUGGAUAUGACAGUGAAGCCGAUGCUCCGAGCCGCAGACUUGCUAAACCAUUAUUCUUUUGUAGGACUGAGAGUGACUGUCCUAUGGAAAAUGGUUAUGCUCGUCCGGUCGAAGGAAUACAUGUACUCGUUGACAUGCAAAAUAUGGUUGUCCUUGAGUUCGAGGAUCGUAAGCUUGUCCCUCUUCCACCUGCUGAUCCACUAAGAAAUUAUACUUCCGGUGAAACUCGGGGAGGAGUUGACCGAAGUGAUGUGAAACCUUUACAGAUUAUUCAGCCAGACGGUCCCAGUUUUCGUGUCAAUGGACACUUCAUUCAAUGGCAGAAGUGGAAUUUUCGUAUUGGAUUCACUCCUAGGGAGGGUUUGAUUAUUUACUCAGUAGCGUAUAUUGAUGGAAGUCGCGGCCGAAGGCCUGUGGCUCAUAGAUUGAGUUUUGUUGAGAUGGUUGUCCCUUAUGGAGAUCCAAAUGAUCCUCACUAUAGGAAAAAUGCUUUUGAUGCUGGAGAAGAUGGCCUUGGUAAAAAUGCUCAUUCACUCAAGAAGGGUUGUGAUUGUUUAGGCUAUAUCAAGUACUUUGAUGCACACUUUACAAAUUUUUACGGAAGUGUUGAAACAAUUGAGAAUUGUGUUUGCUUGCAUGAAGAAGAUCAUGGUAUGUUAUGGAAGCAUCAAGAUUGGAGAACAGGUUUGGCUGAAGUUCGACGAUCUCGAAGGCUGACAGUGUCUUUUAUAUGCACUGUGGCUAACUAUGAGUAUGGUUUUUACUGGCACUUUUAUCAGGAUGGAAAAAUAGAAGCUGAGGUCAAGCUCACAGGAAUUCUCAGCUUAGGUGCAUUGCAGCAAGGCGAAACUCGAAAAUAUGGCACAACUAUUGCACCUGGAUUAUACGCGCCUGUCCACCAACACUUUUUUGUUGCUCGUAUGGACAUGGCGGUUGAUUGCAAGCCCGGCGAAGCAUUUAAUCAGGUUGUUGAGGUGAAUGUCAAAAUUGAAGAGCCAGGAAAGAAUAAUGUUCACAACAAUGCAUUUUAUGCCGAGGAAAAACCGCUUAAAUCAGAAUUAGAAGCAAUGCGUGAUUGCGACCCUUUAUCUGCUCGUCAUUGGAUUCAGGGACAAUCUGUAAAUUUUCAAAUCUGGCUGCUGUUCUAUGCUUCUUCUGUUCUGUUAGGAACACGAGGAGUGUGAACCGUACCGGGUAUCUAACCGGUUACAAACUAGUUCCUGGUGCAAAUUGUUUACCUUUAGCUGGAUCAGAGGCUAAGUUUUUACGAAGAGCAGCUUUCUUGAAGCACAAUCUUUGGGUUACUCCUUAUGCACGCGGCGAAAUGUAUCCUGGAGGAGAGUUCCCUAAUCAAAAUCCUCGCGAUGGAGAGGGUUUGGCUACUUGGGUUAAGCAAAAUCGACCGUUGGAAGAAGCUGAUGUAGUCCUCUGGUACGUAUUUGGAGUGACACACAUUCCUCGAUUGGAAGACUGGCCUGUUAUGCCUGUGGAGCACAUUGGCUUUAUGCUUAUGCCACAUGGGUUUUUCAAUUGCUCACCAGCAGUAGAUGUUCCACCAAGCCCAAGUGAUUUGGAUGAUAAGGAGAAUGGCAUGCCUGCAAAGCCUAGUCAGAAUGGGCUAAUUGCCAAGCUUUAAAAGGCCCAAAAGCAGAUAUACUCCGGCCCAUUCAGCCUCUUCAGUGGUUGAGUUCAUCACAUGAAUAAGUUGUUCAAAUUAAAAAAAUAACAUUCAAAAAACUACAUGUUAAUUAAUCAAUGGUGGUGUGUAACCUUGUUAUUCAAAAAUAGGCUAUUGUGUAAUUUGUGUGUCAUGUGUUAAUAAAAUUUAUGUAUAUAUUCGAAGCUAAAUAUUUCUUCAAAAAACCCAUUUUUUUGCA
Molecule: non-coding RNA, 2844 nt
Organism: Cicer arietinum (chickpea)
Lineage: Eukaryota; Viridiplantae; Streptophyta; Magnoliopsida; Fabales; Fabaceae
Source: RefSeq, a predicted model, not a curated record